Photinus pyralis (common eastern firefly) is the source of this 693-nucleotide long non-coding RNA. RefSeq lists it as uncharacterized. The transcript has 3 exons. Lineage: Eukaryota; Metazoa; Arthropoda; Insecta; Coleoptera; Lampyridae. The record is from RefSeq and is a predicted model, not a curated record.
GUUUCCCUCAAUCGCAACUGGCGCCUGGCUAAACCGUUCAUCCGAUUGCGAUGAAUCUUUGGACGUACCGCGAAGGAACUGGUAUUUCUAAGAGCUGAGGUUAUUAGCGAUUAUCUUGGAUUGGAUCCUUCGCCCAACAGCAUAACGCGACCUUUGAGGUUACAGUAAAUUUUCACAAAAAACGUGAAUUAGGUAGAAAUUUGGUGAAGUGUUUUUCAGUUUUUUGUGCCGAAUUGAGGUUCAAAUUUACAAGUCACCCUUACAGCUCCAGGAAAAGAAUGGUCCUGUGGUAAAGGGCGACUAAAAUGGAACUAAAUGAUUCACGGGAUAAGAAAUUCACUCCCAUCAAAAAGGAAAGGGCACACUCUAGUCGUUGAGAAAUCUCUACAAAAGGGUGGACGAACGACUAGUCAACGGCAUAGGAUGCAGAAAUGGAUACUUCGCAUAUUAAGAUUAAUACCGGAACAACAAUAUUAUCCCUUUAACCGGAUUUCCGGGAGGAGAAAUAUACGAAGUGUGCGUCUAUGAAGAAAGAGAGCAAUAGGGCUAGAUUCAGAACGUGGAAUGUUAGAAAGUCAAAAACUAGAAAACUUCUAAAAAGGUAAAUUGGCGGACGUGAAGUGAGAUGGAGUGGAUGUAGAAUAGAAAAAACGGAACAUUUCAUCUCCUGGUACAGUGGAGAUAAAAAAAGGA